AUUCAGCUGACGAGUCCUAAAUAGGAUGAAACGUGCAUCCUGAAU
This 45-nucleotide non-coding RNA is filed under the name Schistosoma mansoni. The record is from RNAcentral. Lineage: Eukaryota; Metazoa; Platyhelminthes; Trematoda; Strigeidida; Schistosomatidae.